UGUGUCUAUUUGUUAAUGAGGGACUUAUAUGCUAGUAUUUUGCAUGUGUCCAACAGGAGAAGAGAAGUCUGGCAUGAGGAAGUGACUCACUAUAAUGCUGAAGUAGACAUAGUAGACAUACAACCAAAUGCUUAAUGUAUGUCCACCACCAAGUUAUGCUGGGGAGGGAAUACAGUAUGGAUUUUUUUUUGUCAUUACAUCCUGCCUUCAUUCACAGCGCUGGGAUUAUCCACACAUAUGAAGUCAAGCCUGUACAGUCAGAGUCCCACAAUCAAGUUAUCUGAGGGCUGUCAGAGUCUCACAGUAAAAAAAUUAUGCAGUUUUUCGAGCAUGCCGAACUCCAAUACAAGGUCUGCAGUCAGGUGUGUUUGUCCAUCAGUGUUCUUCUGUCUGUCUGCUGUCUGGAAGAUGAUGACUUCUGUUUGUUCCUCUGACGAAAUGGAUCUUCAGUCUCUGGAUGUUCCUCUCUCUGUAGAGGAGACCCGACCAGAACCGGCCCAGAGUUCAGUGCGGCCAUGUUCAUUCACAGAGGAUGAGUGUGAGCGAUGAUGAUGAAGAGCAGCGGGUUUAAGAGUCCAGACACAGAGGAAUGAACUAAUCCAUAUUUUUAUUUACUUUGUAUUAAAUAGUUUCUGUUAUCACUUGAUGAUUACAAAAAGCAUGUUUUAUUGUUUUUCAAUGCCUUUUGAAAUUUCACUAUUCAGAUCUGGGUUUUGAUUUGAUUUCAUUAAUUAAAUAAUUACAUUAAAUUAGUAGGCCAAAAUAAAAUGUAAAAUUAAAAAGAAUAAUUUUAUAAUAAAACCAUUGAUAAAGGCAUUAUAAAGGCAAAUAAAGCAUUUUAUUUGUUUUCCUGCAUGUCAUGUGACCAGCAGAGAACAGAGAACAUGCAAAUGAGUUGUUAAUUAUUGAAAAAUAAACUUAAAAUCUCAGGGGGACUUAAAGUAAAUAUUUUAACUCAAAGGGGUUCAGUUUAUUUUACAUCAAAGAAGAAUUAAUGCAGAAGGAUUGCAUUAGGGUGCAUGGUUCAUCUUAUCCUAGGGUCUAAUUUUAACUAAUUUUAGCAUACAAUUAUGUGUUUAUUUUUUAAAUAAAUAUAUCAGAAUAUAUGAUUUGAAAUUAGUAUUAUGUUAGAGCAGUAAUGUACACAUCAGCUUAAUUCAGAAGAUGCAGACAGCUGAGUUUAUGUAUUUGGUUGUGUUGUGAUUACUUGCAGCAUGUGUUGUCAAACUGAUGAUGAUGUCUUCUUAAAGGAUUAGUUCACUUCAGAAUUAAAAAUUUCCUGAUAAUUUACUUACCCCCCAUGCCAUCCAAGAUGUUAAUGUCUUUCUUUCUUCAGUUUAAAAGAAAUGAAGGUUUUUGAGGAAAACAUUCCAGGAUUUUUCUCCAUAUAGUGGACCUCACUGGGGUUGAAGGUCCAAAUGUCAGUUUCAGUGCAGCUUCAAAGGACUCUACAUGAUCCCAGACGAGGAAUAAGAGUCUUAUCUAGAGAAACCAUCCGUC
Ctenopharyngodon idella (grass carp) is the source of this 1500-nucleotide long non-coding RNA. RefSeq lists it as uncharacterized. The record is from RefSeq and is a predicted model, not a curated record. Lineage: Eukaryota; Metazoa; Chordata; Actinopteri; Cypriniformes; Xenocyprididae. The transcript is spliced from 3 exons.